CCUACGGGAGGCAGCAGUAGGGAAUAUUGCACAAUGGGCGAAACCCUGAUGCAGCAACGCCGCGUGAGCGAUGAAGGUUUUCGGAUCGUAAAGCCCUGUUCUCAGAGAAGAUAAUGACGGUACUUGACGAAUAAGCACCGGCUAACUACGUGCCAGCAGCCGCGGUAAUACGGAGGGUGCUAGCGUUAUUCGGAAUUACUGGGCGUAAAGGGUGCGUAGGUGGGCUUUUAAGUCAGAUGUGAAAUGCUCAGGGUUAACUAUAGUAAAGCAUUUGAAACUGUGAACCUUGAGUGUGGGAGAGGAGAGUGGAAUUCUUAGUGUAGGGGUGAAAUGCGUAGAUAUUAAGAGGAACACUCGUUGCGAAGGCGGCUUUCUGGAACGUAACUGACACUGAGGCACGAAAGCGUGGGGAGCAAACAGGAUUAGAUACCCUUGUAGUC
RNAcentral lists this ribosomal RNA (440 nucleotides) under uncultured bacterium. RNAcentral describes it as "partial 16S ribosomal RNA". It matches the Rfam family "Bacterial small subunit ribosomal RNA", at positions 338 to 795 of the family's 1533-position model. The record is from RNAcentral.